Molecule: ribosomal RNA, 490 nt
Filed under: uncultured bacterium
Lineage: Bacteria
Description: partial 16S ribosomal RNA
Rfam family: Bacterial small subunit ribosomal RNA
Source: RNAcentral
AUUGAACGCUGGCGGCAGGCCUAACACAUGCAAGUCGAACGGUAACAGGAAGAAGCUUGCUUCUUUGCUGACGAGUGGCGGACGGGUGAGUAAUGUCUGGGAAACUGCCUGAUGGAGGGGGAUAACUACUGGAAACGGUAGCUAAUACCGCAUAACGUCGCAAGACCAAAGAGGGGGACCUUCGGGCCUCUUGCCAUCGGAUGUGCCCAGACGGGAUUAGCUAGUAGGUGGGGUAACGGCUCACCUAGGCGACGAUCCCUAGCUGGUCUGAGAGGAUGACCAGCCACACUGGAACUGAGACACGGUCCAGACUCCUACGGGAGGCAGCAGUGGGGAAUAUUGCACAAAGGGCGCAAGCCUGAUGCAGCCAUGCCGCGUGUAUGAAGAAGGCCUUCGGGUUGUAAAGUACUUUCAGCGGGGAGGAAGGGAGUAAAGUUAAUACCUUUGCUCAUUGACGUUACCCGCAGAAGAAGCACCGGCUAACUCCGUG